ACUGUUCCCUGGGAUUGGCUUUGGGCCUUUCCUACGCAGCUUAGGUGGAAGGCAAAGAAGGCCCCCUUCCAGGGGGGAGGGCGAGCCAUCAGUGAGAUACCACUCUAGAAGAGCUCGGAUUCUAACCUUGUGUCGGACCCACGGGCUAAGGGACAGUCUCAGGUAGACAGUUUAUAUGGGGUGUAG
RNAcentral lists this non-coding RNA (186 nucleotides) under Triticum aestivum (bread wheat). Its description in RNAcentral is "Bacterial large subunit ribosomal RNA". It matches the Rfam family "Bacterial large subunit ribosomal RNA", at positions 2103 to 2284 of the family's 2925-position model. The record is from Rfam by way of RNAcentral. Lineage: Eukaryota; Viridiplantae; Streptophyta; Magnoliopsida; Poales; Poaceae.